GACGAACGCUGGCGGCGUGCUUAACACAUGCAAGUCGAACGGAAAGGCCCUGCUUUUGUGGGGUGCUCGAGUGGCGAACGGGUGAGUAACACGUGAGUAACCUGCCCUUGACUUUGGGAUAACUUCAGGAAACUGGGGCUAAUACCGGAUAGGAGCUCCUGCUGCAUGGUGGGGGUUGGAAAGUUUCGGCGGUUGGGGAUGGACUCGCGGCUUAUCAGCUUGUUGGUGGGGUAGUGGCUUACCAAGGCUUUGACGGGUAGCCGGCCUGUGAGGGUGACCGGCCACAUUGGGACUGAGAUACGGCCCAGACUCCUACGGGAGGCAGCAGUGGGGAAUAUUGCACAAUGGGCGGAAGCCUGAUGCAGCAACGCCGCGUGCGGGAUAACGGCCUUCGGGUUGUAAACCGCUUUCGCCUGUGACGAAGCGUGAGUGACGGUAAUGGGUAAAGAAGCACCGGCUAACUACGUG
RNAcentral lists this ribosomal RNA (468 nucleotides) under uncultured bacterium. RNAcentral's name for it is "partial 16S ribosomal RNA". It matches the Rfam family "Bacterial small subunit ribosomal RNA", at positions 28 to 507 of the family's 1533-position model. The record is from RNAcentral.